Jatropha curcas is the source of this 547-nucleotide non-coding RNA. NCBI's taxonomy places the organism in Eukaryota, Viridiplantae, Streptophyta, Magnoliopsida, Malpighiales, Euphorbiaceae. The record is from RefSeq and is a predicted model, not a curated record.
UUAGGGUAAAUUACAUCGUGCCAAUUUCCUAUCUCCCCUCCUUUUUCCUUGUCCCUGAUUUUCCCAAGCUACAACCCAGACGAAGAAGUGUUGUUCUUCCUCCCAAUCGCGCUGGUAACUCAUUCUCUCCUUCUUCAACAACGCGUCAGAGUCUCCUUCACGUUCUCGCUCUCGCUUCCCUUCUCCAGCUCUAUCCCAAGCUCCAAAGGACAGUUGAUGGAAAACGACGAGUACUCACUUUUAUUUGGUUGCUACAACUUGAUAAACUGAUGACAAACUUGGAACGAUGUCACGGUGCUUCAAUGUGGAUUCUGGUUUUGGUUUAUGUGGCGCUUUUGUGGAAUCUACUGAACAUGUUUUUCAAGACUGUUAUUAUGCUAAUUAAGCAGAUUUGGCUUAGAAUUCUGGAUGAGAACUUCUACAUAAAAUUUGCUAGUUGUGUUAGUUAUAUGCCGUGUAGCCAACUUAUUGAUUAUAUUUUAGAUAUAAUAUUUCAUGUAAUAAAAUAUUUAAAAUUAUUAAUAAAAAAACAUUUAUUUAUCUUUUA